GCGAGAGUGGUGAAAUUGGUAGACACGCCAGACUUAGGAUCUGGUGCCGCAAGGUAUAAGGGUUCAACUCCCUUCUCUCGCA
RNAcentral lists this transfer RNA (82 nucleotides) under Spirochaetaceae bacterium. RNAcentral describes it as "tRNA-Leu". It matches the Rfam family "tRNA". Rfam says of the family: Transfer RNA (tRNA) molecules are approximately 80 nucleotides in length. Their secondary structure includes four short double-helical elements and three loops (D, anti-codon, and T loops). The record is from RNAcentral. Lineage: Bacteria; Pseudomonadati; Spirochaetota; Spirochaetia; Spirochaetales; Spirochaetaceae.